Molecule: long non-coding RNA, 495 nt
Organism: Passer domesticus (house sparrow)
Lineage: Eukaryota; Metazoa; Chordata; Aves; Passeriformes; Passeridae
Exons: 4
Source: RefSeq, a predicted model, not a curated record
CCAAAAACAGCAAAAAAACUCAAUUCAGCAGCAGCAAAUUUCCUUCCAAGUUGAAAACCCUUCCCAGGAGUGCCCUCCUCCUCCCAGGGUGCUGCUGCCCAGUUCCCACCUGUAUUUGGAUUUCCCAGGGCCAAAACUCCUCCCAAACUCAGAGCUGGCCCCAGCAGCCCUGACCAAACCUUGGAGGGAGAGAAAAGGGCUGGAAUGCUGCACUGUGGGAAAGGGUAAAGGCGCUGCGUCCUCGCAAAACCCUUCCAAGGUGAAAAGCAUCACCUGUAAAACACCGUGAGAGGUUCAGCUUUAUUAAUUCAGCAAUUCUCAUUGGACCCUUAUAACAUCACCUUUUGCAAAGAGAAAACACUUGAGCGCGUCUGACUCGUUCUGUGGCAGCACCAGGCUCAGCUUAGCUGAUCAGGGAAGUGGGAAGAGUAAACCAGUUCUGCGAGGUUGGGUCGCUGUAUUUUCAUUUCCCUCCCUGAGCUGGUACCAGAGGGG